Molecule: ribosomal RNA, 521 nt
Filed under: uncultured bacterium
Lineage: Bacteria
Description: bacterial SSU rRNA
Rfam family: Bacterial small subunit ribosomal RNA
Source: RNAcentral
ACUCUAGAGAUAGAGUCUUCCCCUUCGGGGGACAAAGUGACAGGUGGUGCAUGGUUGUCGUCAGCUCGUGUCGUGAGAUGUUGGGUUAAGUCCCGCAACGAGCGCAACCCUUAAGCUUAGUUGCCAGCAUUAAGUUGGGCACUCUAAGUUGACUGCCGGUGACAAACCGGAGGAAGGUGGGGAUGACGUCAAAUCAUCAUGCCCCUUAUGAUUUGGGCUACACACGUGCUACAAUGGACAAUACAAAGGGCAGCUAAACCGCGAGGUCAUGCAAAUCCCAUAAAGUUGUUCUCAGUUCGGAUUGUAGUCUGCAACUCGACUACAUGAAGCUGGAAUCGCUAGUAAUCGUAGAUCAGCAUGCUACGGUGAAUACGUUCCCGGGUCUUGUACACACCGCCCGUCACACCACGAGAGUCUGUAACACCCGAAGCCGGUGGAGUAACCAUUUAUGGAGCUAGCCGUCGAAGGUGGGACAAAUGAUUGGGGUGAAGUCGUAACAAGGUAGCCGUAUCGGAAGGUGC